CCCCCGGGCCGGGGCCGUGAGGGGCGCGCGGCCCGGGACGUUUAAAGGGCAAAUUAAAGUUAUCUGGGGCUACCGGGGAACGCGGCGUCGGAGCAUGUGCCCGCUGUAUUAAUAGCACAGGAGGGGACACGGGCAGCUGGCAGGAGCGCUCCAGGCCGAGUUAACCGUUCCGUGCAGGCAGAAGGCAGUGGCUGGGGGCCGAGGUCUCUUCUCAUGAAUCACAGCUCUGAGAAGUAGAUAACAGCUAUAACUUCCUUUGUACCUUGGCCAUCCUGAGAAGAUGAAGCCUGUCCCAGCUUCUAAGAAAGGAGAAGAGAGCCCCCCUGAAGUGACGUUUCCCCAAGCAAGGACCGAAAGCAGGUGCAAGGAUAGGGGAUCCCUAGAAUUAGACUGAAAGUAAAUAUCCCUUUAACAUCCCUUAACCACUGCUGGUUUCACACCCACAUGGACCCAUGGGAUAGUGAUGCUCGCAGCUGCUGCCUGACUAUCCAGACUGAUAGGGUCUCCUCCGUGUGUGCACUCAGGUGUCAGCCAGUGCCCCACUGACUGGUG
Molecule: long non-coding RNA, 552 nt
Organism: Corapipo altera (White-ruffed manakin)
Lineage: Eukaryota; Metazoa; Chordata; Aves; Passeriformes; Pipridae
Exons: 3
Source: RefSeq, a predicted model, not a curated record